Molecule: long non-coding RNA, 714 nt
Organism: Astyanax mexicanus (Mexican tetra)
Lineage: Eukaryota; Metazoa; Chordata; Actinopteri; Characiformes; Acestrorhamphidae
Exons: 3
Source: RefSeq, a predicted model, not a curated record
ACUACAUUACAUUACUUUACAUUACAUUUGGCAGACGCUUUUGUCCAAAGCGACUUACAAUAGUCAAGUACAAUGUAAAAUAAGUUUAAAGGAAAAACAUCUUUGGAUAGGGAUAAAAGGAGGACAAAGGGGAAUAAUAGGAUAGAGGAGUGAAGGAGGGGAAGAAGGAAAUGGGGUUAGAAGUAGUUAGUGUGUUAGAGGUGUUAGGAGAGUAAGUGCUCUUUGAAGAGCUCUGUCUUCAGGAGUUUAUUAAAGAUAGCGAGAGAUUCUCCUGAUCUGGUAGUAGAAGGUAGUUAGUUAGAGGUGUUAGGAGAGUAAGUGCUCUUUGAAGAGCUCUGUCUUCAGGAGUUUAUUAAAGAUAGUGAGAGAUUCUCCUGAUCUGGUAGUAGAAGGUAGUUAGUUAGAGGUGUUAGGAGAGUAAGUGCUCUUUGAAGAGCUCUGUCUUCAGGAGUUUAUUAAAGAUAGCGAGAGAUUCUCCUGAUCUGGUAGUAGAAGGUAGUUUGUUCCACCAUUGGGGAACUCUGUAUGAGAACAGUCUGGAUUGCUUUGUGUGAGUGUUUGGCAAAGCGAGGCGACGUUCACUGGAGGAGCGCAGCGGCCGGGAGGUAGCGUAAGCCUUCAGGAGCGAGUGCAGGUAGGAAGGAGCCUGUUCUGACAUCACCUUGUAGGCGAUUGUAAGAGUUUUGAAUUUGAUGCGAGCAUCAACUGGUAGCC